This 386-nucleotide ribosomal RNA is filed under the name Acanthodactylus guineensis (Guinea fringe-fingered lizard). Its description in RNAcentral is "partial 12S ribosomal RNA". It matches the Rfam family "Bacterial small subunit ribosomal RNA", at positions 794 to 1384 of the family's 1533-position model. The record is from RNAcentral. Lineage: Eukaryota; Metazoa; Chordata; Lepidosauria; Squamata; Lacertidae.
GCUAAGCCAUAAACAUUGAUAGUAACCAUACACAACUAUCCGCCAGAGAAUUACAAGUGAAAACUUAAAACUCAAAGGACUUGGCGGUGUCCCACAUCGACCUAGAGGAGCCUGUCCUAUAAUCGAUACCCCUCGCUCCACCCAACCUCCACUAGCAUAUUCAGCCUGUAUACCGCCGUCGACAGUUUACCCCAUGAGGGUAAAACAGUAAACUAAAUAGUAAUAACACUAACACGUCAGGUCAAGGUGUAGCAAAUGUUGAGGAAGUGAUUGGCUACAUUUUCAAAAAUUUGAAAAAACGAAAUGCAACAUGAAAUCAUGCAAGAAGGUGAAUUUAGUAGUAAAAUAGAUAAGAGUGUCUAUUUAAACAUCGCUCUGGGACGCGC